Molecule: ribosomal RNA, 3088 nt
Filed under: Salmonella enterica subsp. enterica serovar Infantis
Lineage: Bacteria; Pseudomonadati; Pseudomonadota; Gammaproteobacteria; Enterobacterales; Enterobacteriaceae
Description: 23S ribosomal RNA
Rfam family: Bacterial large subunit ribosomal RNA
Source: RNAcentral
GGUUAAGCGACUAAGCGUACACGGUGGAUGCCCUGGCAGUCAGAGGCGAUGAAGGGCGUGCUAAUCUGCGAUAAGCGCCGGUAAGGUGAUAUGAACCGUUAUAACCGGCGAUACCCGAAUGGGGAAACCCAGUGUGAUUCGUCACACUAUCAUUAACUGAAUCCAUAGGUUAAUGAGGCGAACCGGGGGAACUGAAACAUCUAAGUACCCCGAGGAAAAGAAAUCAACCGAGAUUCCCCCAGUAGCGGCGAGCGAACGGGGAGGAGCCCAGAGCCUGAAUCAGCAUGUGUGUUAGUGGAAGCGUCUGGAAAGGCGCGCGAUACAGGGUGACAGCCCCGUACACAAAAGCGCAUGUGCUGUGAGCUCGAUGAGUAGGGCGGGACACGUGGUAUCCUGUCUGAAUAUGGGGGGACCAUCCUCCAAGGCUAAAUACUCCUGACUGACCGAUAGUGAACCAGUACCGUGAGGGAAAGGCGAAAAGAACCCCGGCGAGGGGAGUGAAAAAGAACCUGAAACCGUGUACGUAGAAGCAGUGGGAGCCCCACCACCAAAGCAUUCUCUGGUGUUGAAGGCCCUGCAAAGCAGCAUCGCGGUGGCGGAGCGUCGUUUGCGACGCCCAACACACAAAACAAGCGGUGAGUGCUUUGGGGUGGGGUGACUGCGUACCUUUUGUAUAAUGGGUCAGCGACUUAUAUUCUGUAGCAAGGUUAACCGAAUAGGGGAGCCGGAGGGAAACCGAGUCUUAAUUGGGCGUUAAGUUGCAGGGUAUAGACCCGAAACCCGGUGAUCUAGCCAUGGGCAGGUUGAAGGUUGGGUAACACUAACUGGAGGACCGAACCGACUAAUGUUGAAAAAUUAGCGGAUGACCUGUGGCUGGGGGUGAAAGGCCAAUCAAACCGGGAGAUAGCUGGUUCUCCCCGAAAGCUAUUUAGGUAGCGCCUCGUGAAUUCAUCUCCGGGGGUAGAGCACUGUUUCGGCUAGGGGGCCAUCCCGGCUUACCAACCCGAUGCAAACUGCGAAUACCGGAGAAUGUUAUCACGGGAGACACACGGCGGGUGCUAACGUCCGUCGUGAAGAGGGAAACAACCCAGACCGCCAGCUAAGGUCCCAAAGUCAUGGUUAAGUGGGAAACGAUGUGGGAAGGCCCAGACAGCCAGGAUGUUGGCUUAGAAGCAGCCAUCAUUUAAAGAAAGCGUAAUAGCUCACUGGUCGAGUCGGCCUGCGCGGAAGAUGUAACGGGGCUAAACCAUGCACCGAAGCUGCGGCAGCGAACGUAUCACUUAAAGCGAUUCAGCGGGUUACGAUUGACGGAGCGAAGCGACGUCAAAGCGUAUACAAAGUCGAGUCGGUUUAAGGAUACGUUCGUUGGGUAGGGGAGCGUUCUGUAAGCCUGCGAAGGUGGCCUGUGAGGGUUGCUGGAGGUAUCAGAAGUGCGAAUGCUGACAUAAGUAACGAUAAAGCGGGUGAAAAGCCCGCUCGCCGGAAGACCAAGGGUUCCUGUCCAACGUUAAUCGGGGCAGGGUGAGUCGACCCCUAAGGCGAGGCCGAAAGGCGUAGUCGAUGGGAAACGGGUUAAUAUUCCCGUACUUGGUGUUACUGCGAAGGGGGGACGGAGAAGGCUAUGUUGGCCGGGCGACGGUUGUCCCGGUUUAAGCGUGUAGGUGUGUGUUCCAGGUAAAUCCGGUUCACUUUAACACUGAGGCGUGACGACGAGGCACUACGGUGCUGAAGCAACAAAUGCCCUGCUUCCAGGAAAAGCCUCUAAGCAUCAGGUAACAUCAAAUCGUACCCCAAACCGACACAGGUGGUCAGGUAGAGAAUACCAAGGCGCUUGAGAGAACUCGGGUGAAGGAACUAGGCAAAAUGGUGCCGUAACUUCGGGAGAAGGCACGCUGACACGUAGGUGAAGUGAUUUACUCACGGAGCUGAAGUCAGUCGAAGAUACCAGCUGGCUGCAACUGUUUAUUAAAAACACAGCACUGUGCAAACACGAAAGUGGACGUAUACGGUGUGACGCCUGCCCGGUGCCGGAAGGUUAAUUGAUGGGGUCAGCGCAAGCGAAGCUCCUGAUCGAAGCCCCGGUAAACGGCGGCCGUAACUAUAACGGUCCUAAGGUAGCGAAAUUCCUUGUCGGGUAAGUUCCGACCUGCACGAAUGGCGUAAUGAUGGCCAGGCUGUCUCCACCCGAGACUCAGUGAAAUUGAACUCGCUGUGAAGAUGCAGUGUACCCGCGGCAAGACGGAAAGACCCCGUGAACCUUUACUAUAGCUUGACACUGAACAUUGAGCCUUGAUGUGUAGGAUAGGUGGGAGGCUUUGAAGUGUGGACGCCAGUCUGCAUGGAGCCGACCUUGAAAUACCACCCUUUAAUGUUUGAUGUUCUAACGUGGACCCGUGAUCCGGGUUGCGGACAGUGUCUGGUGGGUAGUUUGACUGGGGCGGUCUCCUCCUAAAGAGUAACGGAGGAGCACGAAGGUUGGCUAAUCCUGGUCGGACAUCAGGAGGUUAGUGCAAUGGCAUAAGCCAGCUUGACUGCGAGCGUGACGGCGCGAGCAGGUGCGAAAGCAGGUCAUAGUGAUCCGGUGGUUCUGAAUGGAAGGGCCAUCGCUCAACGGAUAAAAGGUACUCCGGGGAUAACAGGCUGAUACCGCCCAAGAGUUCAUAUCGACGGCGGUGUUUGGCACCUCGAUGUCGGCUCAUCACAUCCUGGGGCUGAAGUAGGUCCCAAGGGUAUGGCUGUUCGCCAUUUAAAGUGGUACGCGAGCUGGGUUUAGAACGUCGUGAGACAGUUCGGUCCCUAUCUGCCGUGGGCGCUGGAGAACUGAGGGGGCUGCUCCUAGUACGAGAGGACCGGAGUGGACGCAUCACUGGUGUUCGGGUUGUCAUGCCAAUGGCACUGCCCGGUAGCUAAAUGCGGAAGAGAUAAGUGCUGAAAGCAUCUAAGCACGAAACUUGCCCCGAGAUGAGUUCUCCCUGAGACUUAGAGUCUCCUGAAGGAACGUUGAAGACGACGACGUUGAUAGGCCGGGUGUGUAAGCGCAGCGAUGCGUUGAGCUAACCGGUACUAAUGAACCGUGAGGCUUAACCUU